Long non-coding RNA from Pecten maximus, 1284 nucleotides. RefSeq lists it as uncharacterized. The transcript has 2 exons. NCBI's taxonomy places the organism in Eukaryota, Metazoa, Mollusca, Bivalvia, Pectinida, Pectinidae. The record is from RefSeq and is a predicted model, not a curated record.
UUCAUUGAGACUGGGGAGGUAACCCAAGGGAAGCCCACCUUUUUUACCUGUAUAAUAUUACCUGUACCAUUGACUCAGCUGAUCGUUUAUCCUACACACACUAUAGGACAUGUAAUGUCUACCAACAGUGGGACGUCCCAGGCAUCUGGACCUCUCGACCACUUCUCCGGCAGAACGUGAAGCUGUGACCGGUAGGUGAAGGUCGACCUAACCUGGCAAUAUUCCGCACUUGUCGACCCGAGCACAGGGACAUACUAACUGGGCACGUGGAGCAGUACAAUCUUCAUCACGGUUAUACUUGUUACUUGUCAUCGAACUUCUGUCAGGCUUGGGAAGCCUAUCUGGGUCAUUUGGUAGGAUACCAGGGACGUACAAUUUCCGAUACUGACGGGUAUAUUUGGUACAUACAUAAGAAAAUGUCAGAAACAAGCCACUCUACAGAUGACCUACCGUUUCCCACAAUUAUCUUAAACUUUUCUUGUUUAACCAUUGAUUAAGAUUCUAUACGUAUUAAUUUUAUUUUCCAUGAUAUUUUACAUCGGAUAUCAUACGUGUUGAAUAUCAGCAAACAAUAAUUCGACAAAAUGUGCAAUGCCAAAAAACUAAUAUUUAAAGUUUGAUGCACAUUCAGCUCCAUACUAUUUCGAUGCCAUACUACUAGUGUUUCCACAAACUCCCAACUUUGUUGUAAAUAAAGUUGAAGGUUAGGUACACUAUAACACCGUAUUCAACAUAUCGUGAUCAUUUUAUGGUAAAAACAAUUAUAAUAGAAAAAAAACGAGAUUGGCAGACCUUUCAAACACUCGACAAUUUAGUUUCUAAAAUGUUAAAAAAGAAAAUAAGCUGAUGAAUGUUAAAACAAAUAAUGAAUACAUACCGUCUCAUCCUGGGCUCCGAGGGAGAUCUUCUCGCCAUGUUCAGCAUGACUUUCUGGGAAACCCCCUGAACAGCUCCGUUCAGAUGCGGAGAGGAUAGUGUCGGAGAGGAUAGUGUCCGAGAGAGCGGCUGUUCCAUACUAAAAUCCACGGAGUCCCGGAACAAUCUCCACGGUCCGAGAGUAGUGAUGUAUAGUAUUAUACAGAGGUAUACAGUCUAUAAGUCCAGUAUGCUUAAGUAUUACUUGACCACAGAGAAACUUUCAAAGCCAUUGUAAGUACUGUAUAUAUCCCAGUGUUAAUAGAGUACUAAUUCUGUCCAUCACCAGCUCGAUUUUAGUGUGUCGUUAUCAAAUACACAGUGCAGCAUGGCUUCCACGGCACGAAUAAAGUCUGCGUAUUUGAAAUC